CUCGUAGCGGGUUCGGGGCCGGCCCGCCUGCGGGAGCCCGGCCCGACUCGGGGACCGGGACCGGAGAGUUUGUCUCCGACGUGUGCCGGGCUGCGUGGGCUGAGCUCUACGCGCAGAGAAUGGAGUUUAGGGAAGGAAAGAACAGAAGCAGAGAGACCAGCUGGAGGAGGGGCUACGUCAGAGGUCAAGAGAGGAGAGAGAGCAAGAGAGAGAACAAGCAC
This is a long non-coding RNA of Mustela erminea (ermine), 221 nucleotides long. RefSeq lists it as uncharacterized. The record is from RefSeq and is a predicted model, not a curated record. Lineage: Eukaryota; Metazoa; Chordata; Mammalia; Carnivora; Mustelidae. The transcript is spliced from 3 exons.